RNAcentral lists this ribosomal RNA (493 nucleotides) under uncultured bacterium. RNAcentral's name for it is "bacterial SSU rRNA". It matches the Rfam family "Bacterial small subunit ribosomal RNA", at positions 24 to 509 of the family's 1533-position model. The record is from RNAcentral.
UCAGGAUGAACGCUAGCGGCAGGCUUAACACAUGCAAGUCGAGGGGCAGCGCGGGGUAGCGAAUACUCGUGGCGGCGACCGGCGGAAGGGUGCGUAACGCGUGAGCAACUUGCCCGUCACUGUGGGAUAGGCACUGGAAACGGUGUGUAAUACCACGUAACACAUUUACUCGCAUGGGUAGAUGUUGAAAGGUUUACCGGUGACGGAUGGGCUCGCGUGCCAUUAGCUAGUCGGCGGGGUAACGGCCCACCGAGGCGACGAUGGCUAGGGGUUCUGAGAGGAAGGUCCCCCACACUGGAACUGAGACACGGUCCAGACUCCUACGGGAGGCAGCAGUGAGGAAUAUUGGUCAAUGGGCGGAAGCCUGAACCAGCCAUGCCGCGUGCAGGAAUAAGGCCCUAUGGGUCGUAAACUGCUUUUGUUGUGGAGCAAUAAGGGCCACGCGUGGUCCGAUGAGAGUACACAGCGAAUAAGCAUCGGCUAACUCCGUGCC